RNAcentral lists this ribosomal RNA (770 nucleotides) under uncultured bacterium. Its description in RNAcentral is "bacterial SSU rRNA". It matches the Rfam family "Bacterial small subunit ribosomal RNA", at positions 8 to 795 of the family's 1533-position model. The record is from RNAcentral.
AGAGUUUGAUCCUGGCUCAGGACGAACGCUGGCGGCGUGCUUAACACAUGCAAGUCGAACGGAAAGGCCCUUCGGGGUACUCGAGUGGCGAACGGGUGAGUAACACGUGGGUGAUCUGCCCUGCACUUUGGGAUAAGCCUGGGAAACUGGGUCUAAUACCGAAUAGGACCGCGCGCUUCAUGGUGUGUGGUGGAAAGCUUUUGCGGUGUGGGAUGGGCCCGCGGCCUAUCAGCUUGUUGGUGGGGUAAUGGCCUACCAAGGCGACGACGGGUAGCCGGCCUGAGAGGGUGACCGGCCACACUGGGACUGAGAUACGGCCCAGACUCCUACGGGAGGCAGCAGUGGGGAAUAUUGCACAAUGGGCGCAAGCCUGAUGCAGCGACGCCGCGUGAGGGAUGACGGCCUUCGGGUUGUAAACCUCUUUCACCAGGGACGAGGCGCAAGUGACGGUACCUGGAGAAGAAGCACCGGCCAACUACGUGCCAGCAGCCGCGGUAAUACGUAGGGUGCGAGCGUUGUCCGGAAUUACUGGGCGUAAAGAGCUCGUAGGUGGUUUGUCGCGUUGUUCGUGAAAACUCACAGCUUAACUGUGGGCGUGCGGGCGAUACGGGCAGACUAGAGUACUGCAGGGGAGACUGGAAUUCCUGGUGUAGCGGUGGAAUGCGCAGAUAUCAGGAGGAACACCGGUGGCGAAGGCGGGUCUCUGGGCAGUAACUGACGCUGAGGAGCGAAAGCGUGGGGAGCGAACAGGAUUAGAUACCCUGGUAGUC